UUAAGUUCAGCGGGUAUCCCUACCUGAUCCGAGGUCAAGAGUGUAAAAAUGUACUUUUUGGACGUCGUCGUUGUGAGUGCAAAGCGCGAGAUGUACUGCGCUCCGAAAUCAAUACGCCGGCUGCCAAUCGUUUUGAGGCGAGUCUGCGCGCAGAGGCGAGACAAACACCCAACACCAAGCAGAGCUUGAAGGUACAAAUG
This 200-nucleotide unclassified non-coding RNA is filed under the name Didymella sp. RNAcentral describes it as "partial internal transcribed spacer 2". Lineage: Eukaryota; Fungi; Ascomycota; Dothideomycetes; Pleosporales; Didymellaceae. The record is from RNAcentral.